This 193-nucleotide ribosomal RNA is filed under the name uncultured Lactobacillus sp. RNAcentral's name for it is "partial 16S ribosomal RNA". It matches the Rfam family "Bacterial small subunit ribosomal RNA", at positions 338 to 524 of the family's 1533-position model. Lineage: Bacteria; Bacillati; Bacillota; Bacilli; Lactobacillales; Lactobacillaceae. The record is from RNAcentral.
CGUUCGGGAGGCAGCAGUAGGGAAUCUUCCACAAUGGGCGCAAGCCUGAUGGAGCAACACCGCGUGAGUGAAGAAGGGUUUCGGCUCGUAAAACUCUGUUGUUGAAGAAGAACGUGCGUGAGAGUAACUGUUCACGCAGUGACGGUAUUCAACCAGAAAGUCACGGCUAACUGAUACCAGCAGCCGCGGUAAU